UACGUAGGGGGCAAGCGUUGUCCGGAAUUAUUGGGCGUAAAGCGCGCGCAGGCGGUCCGGUAAGUCUGAUGUGAAAGCCCAGGGCUCAACCGUGGAGGGUCAGUGGAAACUGGCGGGCUUGAGUGCAGAAGAGGAGAGUGGAAUUCCAGGUGUAGCGGUGAAAUGCGUAGAGAUGUGGAGGAACACCAGUGGCGAAGGCGACUUUCUGGUCUGUAACUGACGCUGAGGCGCGAAAGCGUGGGGAGCAAACAGG
This 253-nucleotide unclassified non-coding RNA is filed under the name uncultured Caryophanales bacterium. RNAcentral describes it as "uncultured Bacillales bacterium contains 16S-23S intergenic spacer region". It matches the Rfam family "Bacterial small subunit ribosomal RNA", at positions 524 to 776 of the family's 1533-position model. Lineage: Bacteria; Bacillati; Bacillota; Bacilli; Caryophanales. The record is from RNAcentral.